AGCGAACGCUGGCGGCGUGGAUUAGGCAUGCAUGUCGAGCGAGAAACGGGGGCAACUCCGGAGUAAAGCGGCACACGGGUGAGGAACGCGUAGACAACUUGCCUCUAGGACCGGGAUAACGGCGGGAAACUGCCGCUAAUACCGGAUGGCCUCGGAGCCCGGCAUCGGGUGCCGAGUAAAGGUGGGGACCGCAAGGCCUGCCGCCCAGAGAGAGGUUUACGCCCUAUCAGCUAGUUGGGAGGUACGGCUCACCAAGGCGAUGGACGGGUAGGCGAGCUGA
RNAcentral lists this ribosomal RNA (280 nucleotides) under uncultured bacterium. RNAcentral describes it as "partial 16S ribosomal RNA". It matches the Rfam family "Bacterial small subunit ribosomal RNA", at positions 30 to 295 of the family's 1533-position model. The record is from RNAcentral.